AAAAACAUGUCUGUUUGGAGGUUUAAAAAGUCUGGCCUGCCCACUGAUGAAUAGAGUUAAAGGGCCGCGGUAUUUUGACCGUGCAAAGGUAGCAUAAUCAUUAGUCUUUUAAUUGAAGGCUUGUAUGAAUGGUUGGACAAAGAAAAAACUGUCUUUAUGUUAUUAUUUGAAUUUAACUUUUAAGUGAAAAGGCUUAGAUAAACCAAGGGGACGAUAAGACCCUAUAAAACUUUAUAUAAGAUUAAGUUUGUUUAAAUUUAAUUAUUAAAAAAUUGAGUUUAAAAAUAAUUGUAUUUUGUUGGGGCGACAUAGGUAUAAGUAAUUAUAAUAACUGUUUAAAUGUAAUACUAUAAAUUUAUGAUUUUAAAUUAUAAAUGAUCCUUGUUAGAGAUUAUAAGAUUAAGUUACUUUAGGGAUAACAGCGUAAUUUUUUUUAAGAGUUCAUAUCGAAAAAAGAGUUUGCGACCUCGAUGUUGAAUUAAAAUAUCUAAUAAUGCAGUCGUUAUAAAAGAAGGUCUGUUCGACCUUUAAAUUUUUACGUGAUCUGAGUCCCAGACCGGAAUCCAUGGGCCGACUCCCCCAUCAAAAAACAAAAAUUUUUUUUUC
Molecule: ribosomal RNA, 606 nt
Filed under: Trichodactylus cf. crassus CCDB 4528
Lineage: Eukaryota; Metazoa; Arthropoda; Malacostraca; Decapoda; Trichodactylidae
Description: partial 16S ribosomal RNA
Rfam family: Archaeal large subunit ribosomal RNA
Source: RNAcentral